Molecule: ribosomal RNA, 492 nt
Filed under: uncultured bacterium
Lineage: Bacteria
Description: partial 16S ribosomal RNA
Rfam family: Bacterial small subunit ribosomal RNA
Source: RNAcentral
AGUGAACGCUGGCGGUAGGCCUAACACAUGCAAGUCGAACGGCAGCACAGUAAGAGCUUGCUCUUACGGGUGGCGAGUGGCGGACGGGUGAGGAAUACAUCGGAAUCUACUUUUUCGUGGGGGAUAACGUAGGGAAACUUACGCUAAUACCGCAUACGACCUACGGGUGCAAGCAGGGGAUCUUCGGACCUUGCGCGAUUGAAUGAGCCGAUGUCGGAUUAGCUAGUUGGCGGGGUAAAGGCCCACCAAGGCGACGAUCCGUAGCUGGUCUGAGAGGAUGAUCGGCCACACUAGAACUGAGACACGGUCCAGACUCCUACGGGAGGCAGCAGUGGGGAAUAUUGGACAAAGGGCGCAAGCCUGAUCCAGCCAUACCGCGUGGGUGAAGAAGGCCUUCGGGUUGUAAAGCCCUUUUGUUGGGAAAGAAAAGCAGCAGGUUAAUACCCCGCUGUUCUGACGGUACCCAAAGAAUAAGCACCGGCUAACUUCGUG